CCCCAAUCAUUUUUAUAUCCAUGUCUCAAUGGACCUCAAAAUCACUGAUAAUUAUACUGAUUAUUGAUAUUUCAGGUCAGGACAGCUAGAUCCACUAUUUCUCUCACUGGUGGUCAGCUACUGGUCGCACUAUUACGUAUUAAUUGAGGAAAUUCAGGGCGGUCAGAUCAUGACGAUUGUCGGGAAUGGAUUGACGUCUAUCAGAAAUCACGGAACGUUGAUAGAUAUCUUCCUUCCCUCACUCCGGAGAACAGAAUAAUGGUGAUUGCGAUGGUGACACCUGCGGUUUCCAGCGUUGAAUGAAGAAUAAAAAUCUAAGUAUCCAGCUCAUCGUUGGCAGUACAGUGGCAUCGUCACGUAGAGGUUCAUGUUCCCCUAAAGGCACUUCGCUCAUUUAUUCAGUCUCAACUCCCUGACCAUCAAGGACUUUCGUACAAAAUUGCCCUACAUACGCAGUGCUAGCAUGUAUUAUGUCUUGCUGCAGUCCUGGAGGUCUCAAGUGUUUCUUGGAAAUAUCUGUUUCUAUGUAAAUUGCAAGGUUGACCUUAAAUAAAUCACGACGAAAAAAUUGUUUUCCUGGGUAGAAAAAUGCACUUGAAAAUGGGAAAUAUCAAGCGAAUUAUUAUCCCACUGGACUGUAUGGAAAUAAAAUUCUGUAACGUAUCUCACUGGAAAUAUAAAAGCUAGAAUGUCAAGAGAGAGGAAAUGCGAACUGAACACUCAACCUCAAAUCAAUGACGAUUAACCAGAGGAAUUAUUGAGUUUUUAUCAUAGUCACUGGGCCAUAUGGGAAAAAAUAAAUACGGCCAACAGUCUAGCCAGCGACAACAGAAAUUAUUGACUUUUUAAUCCCAUCCACGAGAACAUGUUGAACAAAAAUACAUGUUGAGACAUGUUGAGACAUCACUGCGGUUCAAUGAAUAUGGAUAGCUUUUUUUUCAAGUCCUUGCCUCACUUUCAAUAACCAAAAGGGGACGUGUCGAGAAUCCCCACUCGACUAGAAUCGUUUCUCUAUUUCGUGUGACAAAUCCGUCGAGGCGCUCAUUAUGGCCCACAUACGUCUGAAUUAUUUAACACUCGGAGUUGAAGAAUUGAAAGCAUUCAUCUGCUACAUAUCAUGAAAUGACAAUUACGAAAUGAUUCGUCAUUGUAUUGCUGUUCCGCAUGUUUCAGUCUGCGAUUUUUCUCUUCAUCGGUUAAUUCCGUGAAUUUCGGACGUAAAUUGCCUUGAGGGAUUGUUGCGAAAGUGUCUAGAUGGUCUUGAGAAUUAAUGAAUUUAUUGGUGCUUGACUAUCACUGAAGGCGUGUCAUAAAAAAAUUAUAAAACACAAAUAAAAAUCAGAUUGGGGGCGAUUAUGUGACCAUUUUGUACAGAAAUAAA
Molecule: long non-coding RNA, 1381 nt
Organism: Diachasmimorpha longicaudata
Lineage: Eukaryota; Metazoa; Arthropoda; Insecta; Hymenoptera; Braconidae
Exons: 3
Source: RefSeq, a predicted model, not a curated record